RNAcentral lists this small RNA (77 nucleotides) under Photorhabdus luminescens. RNAcentral's name for it is "isrK". It matches the Rfam family "isrK Hfq binding RNA". Lineage: Bacteria; Pseudomonadati; Pseudomonadota; Gammaproteobacteria; Enterobacterales; Morganellaceae. The record is from RNAcentral.
GUUGCAGCAAAAUCUGUAACCGGACGUGAGAAUCCGAACUACCCUGAAUGGCGCAAACACGCCAAUGCGUGUUUUUU